CCCAGCCCCAAACCCCCAAUCAACUCCCAAUCCCCGAUCCAACCUCUGCGAUCUAGCCCAGAAUCCGCGAUCCAGCCCGGUCCACCCUUCAGCAGCGACACUCGCAGCCUCCGACCUCUCAGACCUACUGACCCCUCAGACCCAGUGAGCCUCGCAGAACCGUUAGGCGCGCGCCUGCACCGCGGGGGCCACGCGGCUCCCCGAAGCCCCCGGGGCAGGCGCCGCUGGGCUCGCGGGUUCUCCUGGCGGGCCCGGGCAGCCCCAGGGCCACAGGCGGAAAAUCGCAGGCGCGCAGCCCGCCCUGCCUGAGGAGGGGGGCCAGUCUGGCCACGCACCUACCCUGCUCAUCGUCCGCAGGGAGAUCUGGGGCUGGCACGGGCACUCCGCGGCCACCGGGCUGGCUUCACGGAUGGCCUGGCUUCAGCGCUGAGGCUCUGGCCCUGGGGGCUGCCUGGCUGGUGUCAGGCAGCGGGAGAGGCAAGGACAGUCUGCGGUUGCCCCUUCCCCCACCCGCCCCACCGCUUGCCGUGCCAGGACGGGCAGUUUGCAGCUGCACCUCUGGCACUGGCGAGGGAUGGCGGAGCUUCCCUUGAAUGAUGUCGGGGUCGCCGAGUGCACAGCCUACCUGGUCUGAGGGUCCUCUCCUCCUGGACACCUCUUCGGAUCCUGGACCCUGGCGCUGGGCAAUCCACAUGGAUGAGACUGAUCUGCUGCUGGUGAAGCCGACCGCCUGACUUUGUAGCCUGGGCGACUGGCCCCAGAAUCCGCGCUGCUGGGGAUGGGGGCCUGGUCUGCGGUGUCCAGCCACCCGCUGCCCGCGCGCCACGUCUAGGCUGGUGGCUGCAGCUGCAGCUCCGCACCUGCGGGGGCUGGCGGGCCUGGUACCUGAUACCAUCAGGGUCAAGUGCACCGCCCACCCACCUGAGGGUCUGCUCUGCCUUGGCCUCCUCCGAGAGCGCAGGGGCCACCGGGGUGGCAAUUUAGGAAUGCCUAAAUUGAAGGAAAUAUCCUUUCUCUGUCUUUAAGAAAUAAGUGGCUUUUGUUGUUGUUGUUUUUGUUUUUGCGAGAUACCCAGCUACAGCAGAAAACAAAGGGGAUGCCAAGGUGAAGGUCCACAGCCAGUUCCUCUAUUGAUGACCUCCAGGCAUUAAUGUUCAAUCUAACUGCUUUGGUUGGCACUUUCACCUCAGCACUUACAGAUGCCUACAGAUCUGUUCAAUUGCAUCGCAUGGAUUCUGAAUUAUUUAAUACCCAAUUAUUUCAUAAUUUAAUACCCAAACUAUUUUAACAGUUUACCAUCUCUGCAAUCCUAAAGUAAUUUUUUCUUUGUUUAUAAAACAAUCGCUAUAGUAAAAUCAAAAUCACAAAACACUUCCACAUUUCAUUGGGUUAAAAAAGCAUUAAAACAUUAUACAUAAAAGAUAAAAAAUAUAUUUGUUUCAUCAUAAAACUAUGGCUUUGCAAAAUUUUUUUACAUUUAGCUACAUUCUUAUGAUUCUUUAACUUUUCACCGUUAUUUUAUAUAUUUUUAAAACAAUGCAUACCAGUGUUUAAAAAAUAAAUGCAGCAUUUCAUCUAGGGCUGAAUAUGUAACACUGGUCAGCUUUUUCAGCAUCGUGCAGGUGUGGGCCUCAGGCUGCUUUGUAUUUACUUAUAUCAAAUGACGUGACCAUCUUAAGUGCACAGAUACCAUCUUCUCGGCUUCUUUCUUCUCCCCCAAAACUAUUUAAUGUUGCUUUAAUGGCAAUGUCAAUUUAACUAGUUUUGUAAUUUCUGUAUUUGUCACAUAACAUGUCAGUUCUUUUUUUUCUUUUUUUUUUUUUUAAAGGAAAGCAUAUAGUCUUAGUUGCUGGGCCAGUUCUUCUGAAUCAGUUUGAAAUCACCUUUUUUCUCUUUCAUAAUAACUACUUACUUUAAUCAACAGGUCAACUAUUAUUGGAUAUUAUUUUUUCAGUUAAAAUUUUGCUGUCUUUCAAAUAUUCCAACUCUUACACACACUUAAGGUACAUAACUAUAGCCUAUACAUAUAUAAGCACACGUUAAGCCAGAUCUAACAUAAAUUUAGAUAUGCCAAGAAAGCCACGUGACCAUUAUUUACAUAAAUAUGAGCAGUGUUCACAUUUAUCAAGGCCAAUGAAUAAUAUUAAGGUGAUUGCUUCAAUGAGAAAUUAAGUGAAGAAUUAUUUGUUGAAUAUUGUCAGAUAAUACCUUUUUUUACCCUGUUAAACUUAUUUAAGCCGGACCCAAAUAAUUUUUAAACGUUUUAUUCUAUCAUGCCUGUAGACAGGUUCAUAUAUUAACCAUUUCUGCUUUCAUGGUCCUUUGAGAAUGGUAUCUUAGCAUGUAAGUGCAAUAAAUAAACAACUUUUAUAGGAA
Long non-coding RNA from Cercocebus atys (sooty mangabey), 2376 nucleotides. RefSeq lists it as uncharacterized. The transcript is spliced from 2 exons. Lineage: Eukaryota; Metazoa; Chordata; Mammalia; Primates; Cercopithecidae. The record is from RefSeq and is a predicted model, not a curated record.